GUUUCAGACUGAACACUGGAGGUGGGAUUCUUGCGGGGGCAGGGAUCGAGUCAAACCUUGGAAAUGACGUCAUUCUGAACUCAUCUGCCUUUAUCCAGAAGACUACCAAAGCAAACCAGAGGACCAGAGAACAGCAGCUGCUCUGGACAAAGAGGGGAGGACACCCACACCCACAUACCAAGUUCUGGUUGACUUCUACAGCAGAAGAAGCAGGAGACACAAGAAGUCUCCUCAGAAGAACAUUGACCAGCACGCCUGCAUCCUUUCUGUUCUGACACACUUGUUACCUGGAUGACUUCUUUCUCAUCACCCACGUGCCAAGAGUGCCAUGUCUCAUCUGGACCAGAGACUCUGAGGAUCACACCAACAGAGACACAAAUGACACUUAAAGAAAGCCACAUCAGCUUUUACAACUUACCCCCCAAUACCGAAUGUCAUCAACUCAAUUUAAAUCAUUGGAUGGUUCUGUUCUCAGGGCCAGAGAGUUUCACUAAACUUCGUCGAACCCUUCGGUAUAACUGUCAACUGUGCAGAGUGUGCUUGGUGUCUGGAUUCUCAGCCUUCAGUGUAAUCAUGUUUACAUCCCCAGGUGUCAGAAAAUUCCCCCUGACCCUUAACCCCCAACCCUUAGCAUGUUGGUGUCUUAGCUUUUACAAUGUCAUUGCUGGACUUGACUGCUUUUCACAAAGGUAGCUGCCCAACUAGCCAUGCCCCAACCAGUACAUUCUUCUUGGUUGCAUUCUUAAAUUCUCAGACUUUUUCUUAACAAAUGUGACAACUGAAUGUUUAUUGGUGUUGGUUUGGACUUCAUUUAAUCCUGUUAAAACCAGUUUGUGUCAGUCACAAUCUGGUGGUUCAUUGAUUGUCCUUCUCUGAAUCCGCUCACCAUCACAUUUGACACCUAGGCUUUCAUUUUUUCCCCCUGAGUCAGGGUUUUUCUGUGUAGCCCUGGGUGUCCCAGAACCUGCUCUGUAGACCAGGUGAACUCAGAGAUUCACCUGCCUCUGCCUUCCAAGUGCUAGAAUUCAAGGUGUGCACCACUACCCUGAGCUUUCUACAUUUUUAUGUCUUUGAAUAUCAAGUUUGCAGUGAGAAAACUGAGGCUCAGGGUGGUGGAGUCACGUGACCAAAGUCUCAAGACUCCAGAGGGGAGCUGAGCUGAGUGGUGAUAAGGGCCUGUGCUUCUGAAACCAGGGCACAUGGCCAGAGCAGAGUAGCAGUCGACAGUGACAAGGACACUAGUGUCACACCCAACAGUCCACUAUGAAGUCACAUACCUGACUCAUGACACCCUAGCAAUACCACCAGCCAAUCCACUUCCUAACAUCUAAGGAUCUCCAAGGACUCCAGCAAAUGGUGGUUUGGGGAGACCAAGGUCCCUAGCACAGAUCUAAGAGUCUCCAUUGUGGAACUUCAAAGUGUUCAGGGUUCUAUCCGGGCAUCCGUUUGACUGGGAAUCCUUUUUUACACUGCUCCAUAUUUGUCCAUUUCAAAAAUGAGAAUAUACUUUGUUCACUGCCUUGAUGAAAUUGAUUUCAGUUUAAUCAGUUGCACCCUGUUUAAUAGACCUGUUAUAAAAGAUGUGCAUUUGUGUCUAUCAAA
RNAcentral lists this long non-coding RNA (1602 nucleotides) under Mus musculus (house mouse). RNAcentral's name for it is "myeloid RNA regulator of BCL2L11 induced cell death". Lineage: Eukaryota; Metazoa; Chordata; Mammalia; Rodentia; Muridae. The record is from RNAcentral.